GAUGAAGAACGUAGCGAAAUGCGAUACGUAAUGUGAAUUGCAGAAUUCAGUGAAUCAUCGAAUCUUUGAACGCAUAUUGCGCUCUCUGGUAUUCCGGAGAGCAUGCUUGUUUGAGUAUCAGUAAACACCUCAACUUCCAUAUCUUUUUUGAAAUGGGAGUUGGACUUGAGUGAUCCCAACGCUUUUCCUCACCGAAAAGUGGCGGGUUACUUGAAAUGCAGGUGCAGCUGGACUUUUCUCUGAGCUAUAAGCAUAUCUAUUUAGUCUGCCUAAAAAACAGAUUAUUACCUUUGCUGCAGGUAACAUAAAGGAGAUUAGUUCUUGUGCUGACUGAUGCAGGAUUCACAAAGACAGGCUUCGGCCGACUUUGUAAACUCGAUCUCAAAUCAAGUAAGACUACCCGCUGAACUUAAGCAUAUCAAUAAGCGGAGGA
Molecule: unclassified non-coding RNA, 433 nt
Filed under: soil metagenome
Description: partial contains 5.8S ribosomal RNA, internal transcribed spacer 2, and large subunit ribosomal RNA
Rfam family: 5.8S ribosomal RNA (bases 1-120)
Source: RNAcentral